GUGACCCCACCACAGAUGACAUCUUUGAAGAGGGCUUUGAAAGCCCCAGCAAAAGUGAAGAGCAGGAAGCUCCUGAUGGGUCUCAGGCCUCAUCCAGCAGUGAUCCAUUUGGUGAGCCCAGUGGUGGGACCCCAGUGGUGAUAAUAUAAGUCCAGAGGUCGGUAGCUAGAUAGCGCAGGUUGGGGUAGGUAUCUGGCCUUUAUUUCUCUUUUGCCCUUUGCCUGCCUGCUGCUCCUCUUCCCACU
Molecule: long non-coding RNA, 245 nt
Filed under: Phascolarctos cinereus (koala)
Lineage: Eukaryota; Metazoa; Chordata; Mammalia; Diprotodontia; Phascolarctidae
Description: lncRNA (ENSPCIG00000035317.1)
Source: RNAcentral